UUUGGUUAAGUUAGAAAGGGCGCACGGUGGAUGCCUUGACACUAGGAGUCGAUGAAGGACGGGACUAACGCCGAUAUGCUUCGGGGAGCUGUAAGUAAGCUUUGAUCCGAAGAUUUCCGAAUGGGGAAACCCACCAUACGUAAUGGUAUGGUAUCCUUAUCUGAAUACAUAGGGUAAGGAAGACAGACCCAGGGAACUGAAACAUCUAAGUACCUGGAGGAAGAGAAAGCAAAUGCGAUUUCCUGAGUAGCGGCGAGCGAAACGGAACAUAGCCCAAACCAAGAGGCUUGCCUCUUGGGGUUGUAGGACAUUCUAUACGGAGUUACAAAGGAACGAGGUAGACGAAGCGACCUGGAAAGGUCCGUCGUAGAGGGUAACAACCCCGUAGUCGAAACUUCGUUCUCUCUUGAAUGUAUCCUGAGUACGGCGGAACACGUGAAAUUCCGUCGGAAUCUGGGAGGACCAUCUCCCAAGGCUAAAUACUCCCUAGUGAUCGAUAGUGAACCAGUACCGUGAGGGAAAGGUGAAAAGCACCCCGGAAGGGGAGUGAAAGAGAUCCUGAAACCGUGUGCCUACAAAUAGUCAGAGCCCGUUAACGGGUGAUGGCGUGCCUUUUGUAGAAUGAACCGGCGAGUUACGAUCCCGUGCGAGGUUAAGCUGAAGAGGCGGAGCCGCAGCGAAAGCGAGUCUGAAUAGGGCGUUUAGUACGUGGUCGUAGACCCGAAACCAGGUGAUCUACCCAUGUCCAGGGUGAAGUUCAGGUAACACUGAAUGGAGGCCCGAACCCACGCACGUUGAAAAGUGCGGGGAUGAGGUGUGGGUAGCGGAGAAAUUCCAAUCGAACCUGGAGAUAGCUGGUUCUCCCCGAAAUAGCUUUAGGGCUAGCCUUAAGUGUAAGAGUCUUGGAGGUAGAGCACUGAUUGGACUAGGGGUCCUCAUCGGAUUACCGAAUUCAGUCAAACUCCGAAUGCCAAUGACUUAUCCUUAGGAGUCAGACUGCGAGUGAUAAGAUCCGUAGUCAAAAGGGAAACAGCCCAGACCGCCAGCUAAGGUCCCAAAGUGUGUAUUAAGUGGAAAAGGAUGUGGAGUUGCUUAGACAACUAGGAUGUUGGCUUAGAAGCAGCCACCAUUUAAAGAGUGCGUAAUAGCUCACUAGUCGAGUGACUCUGCGCCGAAAAUGUACCGGGGCUAAAUACACCACCGAAGCUGCGGAUUGAUACCAAUGGUAUCAGUGGUAGGGGAGCGUUCUAAGGACAGUGAAGUCAGACCGUAAGGACUGGUGGAGUGCUUAGAAGUGAGAAUGCCGGUAUGAGUAGCGAAAGACGGGUGAGAAUCCCGUCCACCGAAUGCCUAAGGUUUCCUGAGGAAGGCUCGUCCGCUCAGGGUUAGUCAGGACCUAAGCCGAGGCCGACAGGCGUAGGCGAUGGACAACAGGUUGAUAUUCCUGUACCACCUCUUUAUCGUUUGAGCAAUGGAGGGACGCAGAAGGAUAGAAGAAGCGUGCGAUUGGUUGUGCACGUCCAAGCAGUUAGGCUGAUAAGUAGGCAAAUCCGCUUAUC
RNAcentral lists this ribosomal RNA (1559 nucleotides) under Bacillus thuringiensis serovar tolworthi. RNAcentral's name for it is "bacterial LSU rRNA". It matches the Rfam family "Bacterial large subunit ribosomal RNA", at positions 1 to 1550 of the family's 2925-position model. Lineage: Bacteria; Bacillati; Bacillota; Bacilli; Caryophanales; Bacillaceae. The record is from RNAcentral.